RNAcentral lists this ribosomal RNA (680 nucleotides) under Bremia lactucae (lettuce downy mildew). RNAcentral describes it as "LSU rRNA". It matches the Rfam family "Eukaryotic large subunit ribosomal RNA", at positions 81 to 634 of the family's 3401-position model. The record is from RNAcentral. Lineage: Eukaryota; Oomycota; Peronosporomycetes; Peronosporales; Peronosporaceae.
UAGUAACGGCGAGUGAAGCGGGAUGAGCUCAAGCUUAAAAUCUCCGUGCAAAUUUUGCAUGGCGAAUUGUAGUCUAUAGAGGCGUGAUUAGCAUAGGCACUUGGGGCAAGUUCCUUGGAAGAGGACAGCAUCGAGGGUGAUACUCCCGUUUAUCUCCGAGUUGCUUAUGCGUACAAUCCGUUUUCUUUGAGUCGCGUUGUUUGAGAAUGCAGCGCAAAGUAGGUGGUAAAUUCCAUCUAAAGCUAAAUAUUGGUGCGAGACCGAUAGCAAACAAGUACCGUGAGGGAAAGAUGAAAAGAACUUUGAAAAGAGAGUUAAAGAGUACCUGAAACUGCUGAAAGGGAACCAAAUCGUUUCCAGUGUCUAUAAUCCGUGGUAUAUUUCAUUGGCGAAUGUGUGCGUGCGUGUACUAUGGCAGCGGCUUUUUGCUGCGCCUUGUGUAUGUGUGCACUUUCUCGCUGAUGCCCUGUACCGUGGUGGGACGUCAAUGUCGGUUCGUAAAUUGCGGGAAAUGACUGCCGAGGAGGUAGGGCGAACGCUUGCGUUUGUCUGUUAUAUCUUGGCGGACGUAGUAGUCGCGGUUGGGACUGAGGUGCCUACAAUGUGCUUAUGAGUAGAAUUGAUUCUCUGUGUGCGCCGUGUGCGGAUAGCUUGCUAUGCGUGUGUGGCUGCGUGUGGAU